Molecule: ribosomal RNA, 468 nt
Filed under: uncultured bacterium
Lineage: Bacteria
Description: partial 16S ribosomal RNA
Rfam family: Bacterial small subunit ribosomal RNA
Source: RNAcentral
GACGAACGCUGGCGGCGUGCUUAACACAUGCAAGUCGAACGGAAAGGCCCUGCUUUUGUGGGGUGCUCGAGUGGCGAACGGGUGAGUAACACGUGAGUAACCUGCCCUUGACUUUGGGAUAACUUCAGGAAACUGGGGCUAAUACCGGAUAGGAGCUCCUGCUGCAUGGUGGGGGUUGGAAAGUUUCGGCGGUUGGGGAUGGACUCGCGGCUUAUCAGCUUGUUGGUGGGGUAGUGGCUUACCAAGGCUUUGACGGGUAGCCGGCCUGAGAGGGUGACCGGCCACAUUGGGAGUGAGAUACGGCCCAGACUCCUACGGGAGGAAGCAGUGGGGAAUAUUGCACAAUGGGCGGAAGCCUGAUGCAGCAACGCCGCGUGCGGGAUGACGGCCUUCGGGUUGUAAACCGCUUUCGCCUGUGACGAAGCGUGAGUGACGGUAAUGGGUAAAGAAGCACCGGCUAACUACGUG